ACGAACGCUGGCGGCGUGCUUAACACAUGCAAGUCGAACGGAAAGGCCCUGCUUUUGUGGGGUGCUCGCGUGGCGAACGGGUGAGUAACACGUGAGUAACCUGCCCUUGACUUUGGGAUAACUUCAGGAAACUGGGGCUAAUACCGGAUAGGAGCUCCUGCUGCAUGGUGGGGGUUGGAAAGUUUCGGCGGUUGGGGAUGGACUCGCGGCUUAUCAGCUUGUUGGUGGGGUAGUGGCUUACCAAGGCUUUGACGGGUAGCCGGCCUGAGAGGGUGACCGGCCACAUUGGGACUGGGAUGCGGCCCAGACUCCUACGGGAGGCAGCAGUGGGGAAUAUUGCACAAUGGGCGGAAGCCUGAUGCAGCAACGCCGCGUGCGGGAUGACGGCCUUCGGGUUGUAAACCGCUUUCGCCUGUGACGAAGCGUGAGUGACGGUAAUGGGUAAAGAAGCACCGGCUAACUACGUG
This 467-nucleotide ribosomal RNA is filed under the name uncultured bacterium. RNAcentral describes it as "partial 16S ribosomal RNA". It matches the Rfam family "Bacterial small subunit ribosomal RNA", at positions 29 to 507 of the family's 1533-position model. The record is from RNAcentral.